ACAUCGGUAAUUUGAGCAGGUGAAAGAGCUACCAUAGUGUUAGCAUAAGUUAUUCGGAUUCGCAACCUUACCUCCAGGCAAAUCCUGUUUAUUAGCCAACACCAAAAGAAGACAGUCCCGCAUUUCACGAUCUGAAAUAAUGCGAUGCAAUUCUUGACGAGCUUCUGAUAUACGAUUGCUGUCGGCAGAGUCAACAACAAAAAUUAAUCCUUUGGUUCCAGUAAAAUAAUGCCGCCAUAAAGGUCGUAUUUUAUCUUGACCUCCAACAUCCUACAAACAAAUCAACGUUAGAACAUGCUCGACCCAAGAUUGAUUAUAAAUAUACCCAAACGUUAAACUUGAUGUUUUUGUAAGUGACUGUUUCGACGUUAAAACCCACAGUGGGAAUGGUGACAACACUGGCUGUUAGUUAAUGAACACAAGAAAAAUCAAUUUCAUUUACGGAAGCAUAAUUGCAACUCAAGAUAAUGCGCGACAGUAGACUUCACUGAUUAAUUAACCAACAGUCUUCGUAAUGAAAUCUAUAUCUACUAUGCUAAUACAGAAGCAGCGCAUACGAUACCUUGACACAAUCGAAGAAUGCUGUUUAGUGCUCUUUACCUUUGAUUGAGUUUUAAUUUGUAUAAGAUAGCUAAAAUGUUAAUAAAAGAGUUACCAUUAUUAAAACACCAAGUUAAGCACGAUUAUACGGAAUGAAGACUGUAAAAAUCCAUCCGAAUAAAAAACAUACUCGUUUUUCCAGCUGCAUCCAGACCUAGCAUUAAGAUACGCAUUUCCUUGUUAGAAAACAACCGACUAAAUGGCUUUGAAAACCCCUUAAAUAGUGAAUUGCCCAUGGUAUCAAAUAAUCCCAGAAGAAGAUAACCAAAAGAAAGAAUAGACCAAAAAAACCAAAGAAGUAGAAUUUAUAUUGAACCCAGAUACAGGGCUUU
Schizosaccharomyces pombe (fission yeast) is the source of this 932-nucleotide non-coding RNA. Lineage: Eukaryota; Fungi; Ascomycota; Schizosaccharomycetes; Schizosaccharomycetales; Schizosaccharomycetaceae. The record is from the annotation of a GenBank genome assembly.